Molecule: long non-coding RNA, 1582 nt
Organism: Salvator merianae (Argentine black and white tegu)
Lineage: Eukaryota; Metazoa; Chordata; Lepidosauria; Squamata; Teiidae
Source: Ensembl
AUCAAAGCCCCUAUCGGCUCCUUUGGAACCUCAUCCCACUAGGUCCAUCCAGGCAUCCUCGCGAUUCGCUUCCACUCACCGUGCUUCUAGCUGUGUUAUUCUCAACACCGUCACUCUCGCUUCCUCAGCUGCUUCAGCGGUCCGAGCUUAUAUAGGGAAACACUUGGCCCGCCCUUCUGCCCGCCUGUCCUCUGCUGACCCGCUCCUUUUUUCUGCUUCCUUUUUUUAAAGGAGGGAGGGGUCACCAGGCAAGAUACGCGGGUCGCGGAAGAAAGAAUGCAGCAGUUACUACAAAUCAUAGAUGCAGGACCAAAGGAGCUCAGACUAACUUUUGUAGCUCCCUCUGGAGGUUUGUGUCGUUUCGGCGGUGCACGCUGCUGCUGAUAAAUCAGUAUUCAUACCACCAUCUUUAAAAUCUUUCGAUGUAGUUCGGAAGUUGUAUGCUUUGUGCGUGGCAGUGGUGUAGGAAGGGCGGGGGGGGGGGCGGGCGCUGCUGCUCGCGGCACAUCCGGGAGGAGGAUGGGCAGCGGCAGGCAGCGGCGCCCGCCGGCGGCUCCUUAAGGGAUGGAGUCACUCAUACCCUCUGUGCAGAUGAUGGAGUCUGCAUGGCUGUAGAAUCUGUGCCAGAUGUCCAAGAGUGCAAUAUUGAAGAGGAAAAGGAACACCUUCUGAAAGAAAAUCCCCAAGAGGAAUCUUCAAAAGCAGAGCGGUCCCCAUGGAACAGGCUGCUCAAUAGGUACAAGCAACGCCGGAGGAUUCCUAUUUCUAAAGUGGAUAUUUCAGCACAACCAAUAAUUGAAGAUGAAUCUACCCUGGACCUAAUGAUAUAUGGAAUUGCAACACCUAAGUCCCAUGUCUCCUUACCAGAUUCCACUGAGGCUGCUUAUAGGCGUCCUGAAGAUGUGACCAGGGAAAUGAUUGGAAACUGUGAAACAGCAGAGAAAGACAUGGUACCGAAUGCUUCUGGAACCCUGGAAAAUCCAAAGAAUGUGUCCUGAGAAAAUACUGUAAGAGCCACCCUAGUCUAUCAGCUACACUGCUCUUCAUUUUCUUCAGCUGGAAGGAAGACUAACCUACCAAGAAUUCUGUUUUGUAAUCCCCAAGCAUAGUUUCAUACUUUUCACUUGCAUUUCAGUUGAGUUUUUUCUUGCCUUGCCUUUUCUUUUCUUUUUCAGGAGUGUAUAGCUUUCACUCAUUUUGCCCUGAAUUGUAUGGAUCCCUAUAAAUUUAACAGAUGCUUACUUAAUAUAUAUUCUAGCUUGAUUGAUUUGUCUGCCCUCAUUAAAUAACUAUUUUACAGUGUUCUCAUAUAUUUUUUGUGUUCUUUAGUGUGUGCACACUUAAUGUUAUGUUAAAACAAGUCGAAAUUUUAUGCAGCACACAUCACAAAGUUACAGCUUAUGACACCGAAAAUUGCAUUUCUGAGAUCAUGCCAUUCUUCCUAUUGCCCAUUGACUCAUUUAUGAUGUCUCUGCAAGCUACAAGAUGUAUUUGGGGAAGACAUGAUGGUUAAAGAUGCACAGAUAAUGAAUAUCAACAAAAAUAACCUCAAACUGAAUAAAAUGGAAAGAGUGAAAAAUCA